Long non-coding RNA from Aquila chrysaetos chrysaetos, 1028 nucleotides. RefSeq lists it as uncharacterized. The transcript is spliced from 2 exons. The record is from RefSeq and is a predicted model, not a curated record. NCBI's taxonomy places the organism in Eukaryota, Metazoa, Chordata, Aves, Accipitriformes, Accipitridae.
CCUGUUUAUUGUUCUGGAUGCUGCCUCUCUCUGGGUUACGAUUGCGUAAGAAAAUCAGUUCCUGCUGCUGCCCAGCCCAAAGCCCUCUGACGCACUCCUUGUUGACCUGCAGCAGCUGGAUGACUGUCACCCCUCACGACACAGCAAGGGCUAGACUUAGUCCGGAAGAAGUUUCCUACUACCUGCACAGUGACCCCAGAGAACAAAACAUGGACCACAGAGCACAGGUUCUGGGCUAGUUUGCUCACGCUGGACAUAUAUGAAACUAUUCAUAGAAAUAAGCGUGAGGAGGAGAAGACUACAAUGCCUAUCUGGCCAUUACAUUGCAAACUGAUCACGAAACUUCUAGGAAUGUUGUACACAAGAUGCUUCACAGCCAGAAUUAAUAGCAAGUCCUGAUAUGAAGUUCAAGGUAAUUUCUAAGUGCCUCUAAGUAGGCUCCAAAAUGUCCCCAAAAUAUGACACCUUUUCAAGGGAAAGGACUGUGAAGCAUCACCUAAGGAACGAUUCCUCCAGCUUCUGAGGACCUUAAGUACUUCUCCCCCAUCUAAGUGAAUGCAGAACUGGGGGCGAGGACCAGCAAUAACGCUCUAAAUCAAGCUCCAUACGAGCUGCUGUACCUCCAUCAAACACAGAGAGAGGGGAGGGAGACCUGCCUUCGGCGCCUAAAGCUAAUCCUCAGGAACAUCUCCUUCUGGCCUCAGCAGCGCUGCACGCGUUGGAUGAAGUCUCCUUCCCCCCAGCAUGCUGUGUAAUUGUAUUCCUAGUGGAGACUCGCUGACUUACUGCUUCUUUGUGUAUACGUAAGUUGUGAAAAUCUGCGUGAAGCAGUAAACACUGUAAGUACAGUAAGAACUGCCCUUUGUGCUGAAGUGAAUGUAUUUGGGGGAUUUUUGUUGAUAAAGGUCUUGAUGUCAGGGGAUAGUUACCUUGCUUGUUAGUUAAUAAUUUCUACUAAAUUGUUUUUGUCAAUUAAAAUAAAUAUAUAAAUUCCUUAAGACAAGAAUAAAUGUAUUUCACAAGUUAAA